This 983-nucleotide non-coding RNA is filed under the name Trichomonas vaginalis G3. RNAcentral's name for it is "Eukaryotic large subunit ribosomal RNA". It matches the Rfam family "Eukaryotic large subunit ribosomal RNA", at positions 1290 to 2467 of the family's 3401-position model. The record is from Rfam by way of RNAcentral. Lineage: Eukaryota; Parabasalia; Trichomonadida; Trichomonadidae.
UCACCUGCCGAAUACUAGGGCCCCGAAAAUGAAUGGCGCAUAUAGUACUACCGAUCUCAGACAUCAGUUCUAUUGAACUGAGAGUAGGGGGAUGUGGACAUUUUUGUGAAGGUGCAAUGUGAGUUGGACUGGAAGAAUGUCUAUUACAGAUCCUAAUUGAAGUAGCGAUUAUCCAGGCUUGUAUCCUGGGGGCUGAUGAGGAGUAGGGUUUCUGGACAACUUAAACAGAUCCAGAGUUAGUCGAUCCUAAUCUCAAUAAUGGGAGAAAGGGAGUACAGUUGAUAUUCUGUAACUGACAACAGUUCGCGGCAACGCAUACUAUUUUUCUCCGCCAAUCUUAUACCGUUGGUAGGGAUCUCUUUCCUACAUGACAGUACUAAUACCCAGGGAAACUGGUCAUCAGGCGAACUGCGGCGUUCUGCUGGCAAAACAUAGCUUCGGUUAUGUCAAUGGCUAUUGGAUUGGUCCAUGAAGCGAAAAAUAGUUUACUGUGUCACUCGUACCGAUAACCGCAUCAGGUCUUCUAGGUAAGUAGCCUAUGGCCAUUGAGGCAUGAUAGUUCAGGGAAUUCGGCCAAUUAGAGCUGUAACUUCGGGAUAAAGCUUGGCUCUGAUGAAAAUCAGAACCGAUUGUUACGCGGAGAGCCCAACUGUUUAAUAAAAACGUAGUGUCGCGCUGUGGUAGUAUAGCCAGUGAACGCGACAUGAAUCCUGCUCAGUGCUGUGUCUGUUAAUAUGGUUCAAGCCAACGAAGCACCGGUAAAUAGCUGGGGUAACUAUGACUCUUAUCAAAGUAGCGAAAUACCUCGUCACUUAAUUAGUGACCUGCAUGAACGGAGCUAUGAGGUUCUCACUGUCCCAAACUGUCUCUCAGCGAACCAACUGUAGUGGGAACGGUCACUAGAUAUCCAGCGGGGGAAAGAAGACCCUGUAGAGCUUCACUUUGGGUCUAGUCUUGUAUAGUUCCUGCGGGGGUGUAGACUA